UCCGGUGGUACGGGACGGGCACGCGCGACAUUAGGUAGUUGGCGGGGUAAGGGCCCACCAAGCCGACGAUGUCUAGGGGUUCUGAGAGGAAGGUCCCCCACACUGGAACUGAGACACGGUCCAGACUCCUACGGGAGGCAGCAGUGAGGAAUAUUGGUCAAUGGGCGAGAGCCUGAACCAGCCAAGUCGCGUGAGGGAUGAAUGGUCUAUGGCCUGUAAACCUCUUUUGUCAAGGAAGAAUAAAUCGCACGGGUGCGAUCUUGCCAGUACUUGACGAAUAAGCAUCGGCUAACUCCGUGCCAGCAGCCGCGGUAAUACGGGGGAUGCGAGCGUUAUCCGGAUUUAUUGGGUUUAAAGGGCGCGUAGGCGGGACGUCAAGUCAGCGGUAAAAGACUGCAGCUAAACUGUAGCACGCCGUUGAAACUGGCGCCCUCGAGACGAGACGAGGGAGGCGGAACAAGUGAAGUAGCGGUGAAAUGCAUAGAUAUCACUUGGAACCCCGAUAGCGAAGGCAGCUUCCCAGGCUCGAUCUGACGCUGAUGCGCGAGAGCGUGGGUAGCGAACAGGAUUAGAUACCCUGGUAGUCCACGCCGUAAACGAUGCUCACUGGAUCUUGGCGAUACACAGCCAGGGUCA
RNAcentral lists this ribosomal RNA (636 nucleotides) under uncultured bacterium. RNAcentral describes it as "bacterial SSU rRNA". It matches the Rfam family "Bacterial small subunit ribosomal RNA", at positions 211 to 848 of the family's 1533-position model. The record is from RNAcentral.